Cinara cedri is the source of this 322-nucleotide non-coding RNA. The record is from the annotation of a GenBank genome assembly. Lineage: Eukaryota; Metazoa; Arthropoda; Insecta; Hemiptera; Aphididae.
UAUACCUUGUUAAAAUGUUGUAUACAUAUAAUACUCGCACGCGCGUUAUCACCAGAUGUUUCGGGAAAUAUUAAAAUACGCUAGAGAGAGCCGGUCACGACGACAAGUCGUACAGCAAUUAAUUUCUGUAUGAAAAAAAAAUACCCUCUAAGAUCGUAUCGCGACGUAUUCGAUCAUGCAGGUCACGUUAUUAUAGGGUAAUCGACUGCGCGGUGUACGGUUACGGUGUUUUUGUCGAACGGCGGUGCGCAUCCCCAGCAAUCGCCCGAAAAGAAUACAUCGUCCCGCAGUAUAGAAUUAUUUAAAACGUAGUGAAAAAAAA